RNAcentral lists this unclassified non-coding RNA (355 nucleotides) under soil metagenome. RNAcentral's name for it is "partial contains 5.8S ribosomal RNA, internal transcribed spacer 2, and large subunit ribosomal RNA". The stretch from base 1 to 120 matches the Rfam family "5.8S ribosomal RNA", at positions 35 to 154 of the family's 154-position model. The record is from RNAcentral.
GAUGAAGAACGCAGUGAAACGCGAUAGUUAAUGUGAAUUGCAGAAUUCAGUGAAUCAUCGAGUUUUUGAACGCAUAUUGCGCCCAUUGGUAUUCCUUUGGGCAUGUCUGUUUGAGCGUCAUUACAACUCUUCAACAUAAAAGUUGGUUAUGGGCUUCUGUUAUAGUUUUUAUAACAGGCUUUAAAGUUGUAUGCUCUGCAGGUUACUUUGCCGAACCAAAACAUAGUAAUUUUACUUCUUUGUUUCUAGUAAGGCUUUGUAUAUUCUGCCUGAAUUAAAAAUCUUUAAUUCUAAGGUUUGACCUCAGAUCAGACAAGGAUACCCGCUGAACUUAAGCAUAUCAAUAAGCGGAGGA